GCCGGAGGAGGCAAGCGUUAUCCGGAAUUAUUGGGCGUAAAGGGUACGUAGGCGGCUGGUCAAGUCUGGGGUCAAAGGCCACAGCUCAACUGUGGGAAGGCCCUGGAAACUGACCGGCUAGAGUGAGGUAGGGGUUGCGGGGAUUCCCGGUGUAGCGGUGAAAUGCGUAGAGAUCGGGAAGAACACCUGAGGCGGAAGCGCGCAACUGGGCCUCAACUGACGCUGAGGUACGAAAGCUAGGGGAGGGAGUGGG
This 253-nucleotide ribosomal RNA is filed under the name uncultured bacterium. Its description in RNAcentral is "partial 16S ribosomal RNA". It matches the Rfam family "Bacterial small subunit ribosomal RNA", at positions 524 to 776 of the family's 1533-position model. The record is from RNAcentral.